AGAAUGAACGUUGGCGGCGUGGAUUAGGCAUGCAAGUCGAACGGGCCGCAAGGCCAGUGGCGCAAGGGUGAGUAAGGCGACGGUAACCAACCCCGCGGGUGGGCAUAGCCGAGGGAAACCUCGGGUAAUUCCCAGCGAUGCAGGGGAUCGGCAUCGAUCCUCUGCCAAAGAUUUAUCGCCGUGGGACGGGCCGUUGUGGUAUUAGCUUGUUGGCGGGGUGACGGCCCACCAAGGCUUCGAUGCCUACCGGGCGUGCGAGCGUGGCCCGGCACACUGGGACUGAGACACUGCCCAGACUCCUACGGGAGGCUGCAGUCGAGAAUCUUCGGCAAUGGGCGCAAGCCUGACCGAGCGACGCCGCGUGGAGGAUGAAGGCCUUCGGGUUGUAAACUCCUGUCGAGGGGAGGAAGCCGCAAGGUUGACCGAUCCCGUGGAGGAAGCGACGGGCUAAGUUCGCGCCAGCAGCCGC
This 469-nucleotide ribosomal RNA is filed under the name uncultured bacterium. RNAcentral describes it as "SSU rRNA". It matches the Rfam family "Bacterial small subunit ribosomal RNA", at positions 26 to 518 of the family's 1533-position model. The record is from RNAcentral.